Molecule: ribosomal RNA, 333 nt
Filed under: Escherichia coli
Lineage: Bacteria; Pseudomonadati; Pseudomonadota; Gammaproteobacteria; Enterobacterales; Enterobacteriaceae
Description: bacterial LSU rRNA
Rfam family: Bacterial large subunit ribosomal RNA
Source: RNAcentral
GUUAAGCGACUAAGCGUACACGGUGGAUGCCCUGGCAGUCAGAGGCGAUGAAGGACGUGCUAAUCUGCGAUAAGCGUCGGUAAGGUGAUAUGAACCGUUAUAACCGGCGAUUUCCGAAUGGGGAAACCCAGUGUGUUUCGACACACUAUCAUUAACUGAAUCCAUAGGUUAAUGAGGCGAACCGGGGGAACUGAAACAUCUAAGUACCCCGAGGAAAAGAAAUCAACCGAGAUUCCCCCAGUAGCGGCGAGCGAACGGGGAGGAGCCCAGAGCCUGAAUCAGUGUGUGUGUUAGUGGAAGCGUCUGGAAAGGCGCGCGAUACAGGGUGACAGC